Non-coding RNA from Vicia faba (fava bean), 267 nucleotides. Lineage: Eukaryota; Viridiplantae; Streptophyta; Magnoliopsida; Fabales; Fabaceae. The record is from the annotation of a GenBank genome assembly.
AUGAUGGGUGAGACACUUUCAGCAUGGGCUAAAGCAUCUUUGGCAAAAGCUGAGAGUUACAGGGAUAGGAGUGUGGAGGCUACUUCACGUGUAACAUCAGACUGUUCUCUUACUAAGUGUGUGGCGGCGCUGAAUGAGAUGGAAGACAUUGCACAUGAUGUAUAUGGAAAAGCUUUGGAAAAGUUUAUGAAUCUUGAUUGGAGAGAAGUGUUCAUCGUCAUGUCUCUUGAGAGGAAACGUGGAUGGAAUUUCUCUUUCAUAGUAUGA